AGUUUGAUCCUGGCUCAGAUUGAACGCUGGCGGCAGGCCUAACACAUGCAAGUCGAGCGGUAACACAGGGAGCUUGCUCCCGGGUGACGAGCGGCGGACGGGUGAGUAAUGUCUGGGAAACUGCCUGAUGGAGGGGGAUAACUACUGGAAACGGUAGCUAAUACCGCAUAACGUCGCAAGACCAAAGAGGGGGACCUUCGGGCCUCUUGCCAUCAGAUGUGCCCAGAUGGGAUUAGCUAGUAGGUGGGGUAAUGGCUCACCUAGGCGACGAUCCCUAGCUGGUCUGAGAGGAUGACCAGCCACACUGGAACUGAGACACGGUCCAGACUCCUACGGGAGGCAGCAGUGGGGAAUAUUGCACAAUGGGCGCAAGCCUGAUGCAGCCAUGCCGCGUGUAUGAAGAAGGCCUUCGGGUUGUAAAGUACUUUCAGCGGGGAGGAAGGCGAUAAGGUUAAUAACCUUGUCGAUUGACGUUACCCGCAGAAGAAGCACCGGCUAACUCCGUGCCAGCAGCCGCGGUAAUACGGAGGGUGCAAGCGUUUAAUCGGAAUUACUGGGCGUAAAGCGCACGCAGGCGGUCUGUCAAGUCGGAUGUGAAUCCCCGGGCUCAACCUGGGAACUGCAUUCGAAACUGGCAGGCUAGAGUCUUGUAGAGGGGGG
RNAcentral lists this ribosomal RNA (660 nucleotides) under uncultured Enterobacter sp. RNAcentral describes it as "bacterial SSU rRNA". It matches the Rfam family "Bacterial small subunit ribosomal RNA", at positions 10 to 661 of the family's 1533-position model. The record is from RNAcentral. Lineage: Bacteria; Pseudomonadati; Pseudomonadota; Gammaproteobacteria; Enterobacterales; Enterobacteriaceae.